CCCGAUCGGAGCAAGCUCCGCCACCGGCGAGCCCAGAUUCUGCGGCAGAAACGAGAGGACAUCCGCGUGAAGAAGAUCAUCGA
This 83-nucleotide non-coding RNA is filed under the name Pseudo-nitzschia pungens. Lineage: Eukaryota; Bacillariophyta; Bacillariophyceae; Bacillariales; Bacillariaceae. The record is from RNAcentral.